UUCCAUCUAACAAAAUAACUGGGAUGUAAAACUUUGAUGCUCAAUAUCUCAGAACUACCCUAAACGGAGAUAGA
Molecule: long non-coding RNA, 74 nt
Organism: Etheostoma spectabile (orangethroat darter)
Lineage: Eukaryota; Metazoa; Chordata; Actinopteri; Perciformes; Percidae
Exons: 3
Source: RefSeq, a predicted model, not a curated record